UUGGUGUUUAUUGCAUUUGAAAUUUUGAUUUUCAAGGGAAAGAUAAAUUUCUUUA
This 55-nucleotide transfer RNA is filed under the name Amaga expatria. RNAcentral's name for it is "tRNA-Gln". The record is from RNAcentral. Lineage: Eukaryota; Metazoa; Platyhelminthes; Tricladida; Geoplanidae.